Molecule: long non-coding RNA, 1542 nt
Organism: Dromaius novaehollandiae (emu)
Lineage: Eukaryota; Metazoa; Chordata; Aves; Casuariiformes; Dromaiidae
Exons: 2
Source: RefSeq, a predicted model, not a curated record
UUUGCAGUGCUAGGGUCUGGUGUCUGUGGAGCACAUACUGUAGAAAUAUGUAUAUAUUACAAAGGCUUUUGUGUGUGUCUUUUCAGAUAUUUUUUUUCCUGCCGUUACUGUAUAGUAGUUGCACUUUCCAAGAUUUGCUUAGGAAUGGAAGUCAUAAUUUUCAGCUGGCAUACCCCCAUCUGGACAUUUCCUGGAGACUGCUGCAGUUUUUUGCCUGUGCAUGAAGUUGCUGGCAUGCUUUAGAAUUUCUUUGUGUUUUCUUCUGGGAUACAGAUUUCCCACACCUUCUCACUUUUUCUACUAAUCCCACAUUCUUGUUCAAAGCAGCAUAGCCAUGGUCAAGGAUGGAAGGAUUCACUUACUUCUGUACCUCAUCAACAUUCCUUAAAGUCAGUAGGCUAACCAAAGGAGAACGCAUUUUUUUCCUCCUUACAGAUAGUCUCAGAUGUAUUUUUUCUUGAACAUCUUACACAAGUUGAGCCAUUUGUAGACAUAACUGGAAGGGAAAAAUGCAUCACUGGUAUAUUUCUCUGAGUUUUUAGCUAUAUUCUACAUUGGCAAAAUGUUGUUUUUUCAGUGCUUCUCUCCAUUACAAUUUAGAGUAUAUUCUUUCUUAGCAGGACACAUCUCUGGUUAUUUUCUCUAAUGACAGUUUUUGAUGUGAAACUUGACUAGAUUUGCCAAAAUCGACAAACCAGUGAACCAAGACUGGUUUAGAGGAAGAAAAGGCUGGAGUUAGUGUUCUGCAGUAGAGAGUCUACUUUGGCCAAGUUCUGCUUUGUAUUUUGGAAGUUUCUUGGAUAACAAAACCUUCGGGUGCAAGCCCAAAUGAACCCGGGGAAAGGAGUUAGAAGCAGGAUCCUCUGCCAAACAGCAUCACCAAGCUUUGUUCUAACUCUCAUGACUCUACCUGACUGUGGCUGCUUUUCUGUAUGAGGGAUUUAUCUGUUUGACAGGUGUGCUGUUUCUUGUCUGUUCUGUGGUUCUAGCUGAUUUCUUUCAAAUAGGAGUGUCAUUUUAAAAACAAAAUGAGAUUUAAGUAUAUAUUAAUUUUGUCUUGGAAACAGCUCUGAUGUGUAUCCAAGACCAGUACUUCUGACCACAAUAUGAUGCAUUAGGAAAAAACAAGAUGCUAAUUAGACUUCCUACUCCUGCCUCUUUGGAGUCAACAGACAUUGUGUACUGCUUGCUUCUUGGCAAAACUAGAAUACAGACAUAAGGAUCAGACAGCGCCUUGCGUUUCCUACAUUCCCAAUGGAGCUGAACUUCUGAAGGGAGAGCUGUGCAUUUUUAUAUUUAACUUUGAUUACUUACUUCAUGAACCAUCCCUAACAUGGGACUGGGGCCAAAGCAAAAAAAUCUAGCCUUUAUUUUGAUUACAGUGAUGGAUUUUUAUUAUAAUUUUUGGAGUUCUAUUUUUGGUAUUGUAUUUUACUAGUAAAUUCUCAUGAGUCUCAUUCAACCAGUGGCCAUUUUUCUGUUGAGAAUGUUUUCUAUUUUCUAUAGUGCAAGCUCAAUAAAACUGAUAAAGUUUAAGAAAAA